This 232-nucleotide ribosomal RNA is filed under the name uncultured bacterium. RNAcentral describes it as "partial 16S ribosomal RNA". It matches the Rfam family "Bacterial small subunit ribosomal RNA", at positions 118 to 351 of the family's 1533-position model. The record is from RNAcentral.
UGAGUAACCUGCCCCAGGCUUUGGGAUAACCCUCGGAAACGGGGGUUAAUACCGGAUAUUCAUUGCUGGCCGCAUGGUUGGUGGUGGAAAGAUUUUUGGCGUGGGAUGGGCUCGCGGCCUAUCGGCUUGUUGGUGGGGUGAUGGCCUACCAAGGCGGUGACGGGUAACCGGCCUGAGAGGGCGACCGGCCACACUGGGACUGAGACACGGCCCAGACUCCUACGGGAGGCAG